AUGGCCCAUAAGCACCCUGGAGAAGGAGGGUUGUGUGGAGCCCAUCACAGCUGUGGUGCCUCCCUCAGGACCUCAGGACCCUCUGUGCACCUUGAAAAACUUUCAUUCUCAGGACUCAGGGAAAAACGGAGACUGCUCCUAAUGGUACCCGCUGCCUCAUGUCCUAAGUACACACAGCCCCUAACCCAGCCCACUGGUCGGAUCCAAACCAUGCUCCUCCAAGGGGUCCGGGACCACCUAGGGAAGGAGGUUACCCUGACGAGAGUGACGCAUCUUCGGAAGAGUCAGGAGUGGACCAGGAACUCUCAAGAGAUAAUGAGACUGGGUACCAGGAGGAUGGGAGCCCUUCUUUUCUUUCCAUUCCAUCUGCUUGUAACUGCUGGGGAAACCCUGGAGUCCCAGAAGGGACUCACUCUGAGGAAGGAGAUGGCUCUUCUAGCAACUUCUGCCACCAUUGCACCUCUCUAGCCUUGGGGGAAGAUAAAGAAUUAGAAGAAGAAUAUGAUGAUGAGGAACCUCUUAAAUUUCCCAGUGAUUUCUCACGUGUGUCCAGUGGGAAGAAACCCCCAUCCCAGAGGCAGAGACACUGUUUUUUGACCAAGGAGGAUACUCGGGAUAGUGGACGCAGAGAUCCCAGGUCCCCUGGUCUUCAUCCACUGGGCCGAAAAUGAAAUCAGGCAGAUAAGCACAGAGGUCUGGGACUGUGGAGAGUAGAGGAACUAUGUCAGCUUGGACAGGAGGGCUUCUGGUGGCUGAUUGAACUUCUGGUAUUGGUGGGAGAGUAUGUAGAAACUUGUGGCCAUCUCAUUUAUGCAUGCAGGCAGCUGAAAGGCAGUGAUCUGGACCUUUUUCGAGUUUGGGUGGGAGUCUGGGCAGGGAGAUUGGGGGGCUGGGUCCAGAUGAUGGCCCUGUUUCUAAGCCAGAGCUUUUACUGUGCAGCGGGGCUAUUCACCCGUUUUCUUAGGCUAGUGGGUGCUUUCCUACUUCUGGCUCUUGCCCUCUUUUUGGGUUGUCUACAGUUGGGCUGGCGGUUUUUGGUGGAACUGGGUGACCGUUUAGGAUGGAGGGAUAAGACCACCUGGAUAUUCUCAAAAUUCUUAUUAUAUGUGAAUUUAAUUAUCUAA
Molecule: non-coding RNA, 1124 nt
Organism: Peromyscus maniculatus bairdii (prairie deer mouse)
Lineage: Eukaryota; Metazoa; Chordata; Mammalia; Rodentia; Cricetidae
Source: RefSeq, a predicted model, not a curated record